RNAcentral lists this ribosomal RNA (468 nucleotides) under uncultured bacterium. RNAcentral describes it as "partial 16S ribosomal RNA". It matches the Rfam family "Bacterial small subunit ribosomal RNA", at positions 28 to 507 of the family's 1533-position model. The record is from RNAcentral.
GACGAACGCUGGCGGCGUGCUUAACACAUGCAAGUCGAACGGAAAGGCCCUGCUUUUGUUGGUUGCUCGAUUGGCGAACGGGUGAGUAACACGUGAGUAACCUGCCCUUGACUUUGUGAUAACUUCAGGAAACUGGGGCUAAUACCGGAUAGGAUCUCCUGCUCCAUGUUGUGGGUUGGAAAGUUUCGGCUGUUGGGGAUGGACUCGCUGCUUAUCAGCUGGUUUGUGGGGUAGUUGUUUACCAAGGCUUUGACGGGUAGCCGGCCUGAGAGCGUGAACGGCCACAUUGGGACUGAGAUACGGCGCAGAAUCCUACGGGAGGCAGUAGUGGGGAAUAUUGCACAAUGGGCGGAAGCCUGAUGCAGAAACGCUGCGUGCGGGAUGACGGCCUUCGGGUUGUAAACAGCUUUCGAAUGUGCCGAGGAGUGAGUGACGGUAAUGGGUAAAGAAGCAACGGCUAACUACGUG